AGCAGCCGCGGUAAUUCCAGCUCCAAUAGCGUAUAUUAAAGUUGUUGCAGUUAAAAAGCUCGUAGUUGAAUUUCGGAGUUUGUCGGUUGGUCGGGCUUCAUUGUCCGCACUGACCUGAUGGAUUCCUACCUUCUGAAUAACCAGCAUGCUAUUAAGUUAGUGCGUUGGGGAAGCAGAGCUAUUACCUUGAAAAAAUUAGAGUGCUUAAAGCGGGCUUAUGCUUGAAUAGAUUAGCAUGGAAUAAUAAAAUAGGACGGCAUGGUUCUAUUUUGUUGGUUUCUAGGAUCACCGUAAUGAUUAAUAGGGAUAGUUGGGGGCAUUAGUAUUCAAUUGUCAGAGGUGAAAUUCUUGGAUUUAUUGAAGACUAACUUCUGCGAAAGCAUUUGCCAAGGAUGUUUUCAUUAAUCAAGAACGAAAGUUAGGGGAUCGAAGACCAUCAGAUACCGUCGUACGUCCUAACCAUACAACUAUGCCGACUAGGGAUCGGACGAUGUCAAUUUU
Molecule: ribosomal RNA, 501 nt
Filed under: uncultured Acaulospora
Lineage: Eukaryota; Fungi; Glomeromycota; Glomeromycetes; Diversisporales; Acaulosporaceae
Description: SSU rRNA
Rfam family: Eukaryotic small subunit ribosomal RNA
Source: RNAcentral